ACGCCUCAUCAGGUGUGCAUUUAGAGUGCACUAUGGUUGUACCCAUAGCAUUUCCCAUUUUCCUUUACCCUACACCUAGUCAAUUCAAAUGCAACGCCUCAUCAGGUUUGCAUUUGGAGUGCACUAUGGUUGUACCCAUAGCAUUUCCCAUUUUCCUUUACCUUAGGAGCAAAUUUCUUUCUUGUAACUCUUCAUCUUAUCUUUCUGGUUCCUUCCGAUCUUGUUUCCCCUCAUGAUUGAGACUCC
Molecule: long non-coding RNA, 246 nt
Filed under: Actinidia chinensis (golden kiwifruit)
Lineage: Eukaryota; Viridiplantae; Streptophyta; Magnoliopsida; Ericales; Actinidiaceae
Description: long non-coding RNA (ACHI_LNC008441)
Source: RNAcentral